This 254-nucleotide ribosomal RNA is filed under the name uncultured bacterium. Its description in RNAcentral is "partial 16S ribosomal RNA". It matches the Rfam family "Bacterial small subunit ribosomal RNA", at positions 524 to 776 of the family's 1533-position model. The record is from RNAcentral.
UACGUAGGCAGCGAGCGUUGUUCGGAGUUACUGGGCGUAAAGGGUGUGUAGGCGGUUGUUUAAGUUUGGUGUGAAAUCUCCCGGCUCAACUGGGAGGGUGCGCCGAAUACUGAAUGACUUGGAGUGCGGGAGAGGAAAGUGGAAUUCCUGGUGUAGCGGUGAAAUGCGUAGAUAUCGGAAGGAACAUCAGUGGCGAAAGCGGCUUCCUGGACCAGUACCGACGUUCAGGCACGAAAGCGUGGGGAGCAAACAGG